Molecule: ribosomal RNA, 497 nt
Filed under: uncultured bacterium
Lineage: Bacteria
Description: partial 16S ribosomal RNA
Rfam family: Bacterial small subunit ribosomal RNA
Source: RNAcentral
GACGAACGCUGGCGGCGUGCCUAAUACAUGCAAGUUGAGCGCUGAAGGUUGGUACUUGUACCGACUGGAUGAGCAGCGAACGGGUGAGUAACGCGUGGGGAAUCUGCCUUUGAGCGGGGGACAACAUUUGGAAACGAAUGCUAAUACCGCAUAAAAACUUUAAACACAAGUUUUAAGUUUGAAAGAUGCAAUUGCAUCACUCAAAGAUGAUCCCGCGUUGUAUUAGCUAGUUGGUGAGGUAAAGGCUCACCAAGGCGAUGAUACAUAGCCGACCUGAGAGGGUGAUCGGCCACAUUGGGACUGAGACACGGCCCAAACUCCUACGGGAGGCAGCAGUAGGGAAUCUUCGGCAAUGGACGAAAGUCUGACCGAGCAACGCCGCGUGAGUGAAGAAGGUUUUCGGAUCGUAAAACUCUGUUGGUAGAGAAGAACGUUGGUGAGAGUGGAAAGCUCAUCAAGUGACGGUAACUACCCAGAUAGGGACGGCUAACUACGUG